GACGAACGCUGGCGGCGUGCUUAACACAUGCAAGUCGAGCGGUAAGGCCCUUUCGGGGGUACGACGAGCGGCGAACGGGUGAGUAACACGUGGGUGACCUGCCCUCAGCUCUGGGAUAAGCCUGGGAAACUGGGUCUAAUACUGGAUAUGACUCCACGGUGCAUGUCGGUGGGGUGGAAAGCCUUGUGCGGCUGAGGAUGGGCCCGCGGCCUAUCAGCUUGUUGGGUGGGGUGANGGCCUACCAAGGCGACGACGGGUAGCCGGCCUGAGAGGGCGACCGGCCACACUGGGACUGAGACA
RNAcentral lists this ribosomal RNA (300 nucleotides) under uncultured bacterium. RNAcentral's name for it is "bacterial SSU rRNA". It matches the Rfam family "Bacterial small subunit ribosomal RNA", at positions 28 to 326 of the family's 1533-position model. The record is from RNAcentral.